GUCCAGUCUCAUUAUUUUCUGACCUGGAAGUCAAUAGCGACACAUCGCUAAGACAAGGUGCACAUACAAUUGCUCCCUCUUCAAAAACGCCUUUUUUAUAUGCAUGGAGAAGAACUCUAACGAAACAUAAUUUUCGGUCACAAUUCAUUUGGGUAAUACCAUUUUGAAGUUGGACAAGUUUACUUUCAUCAUUGAUAAACUCUAGAAACCUCAUCUUCCUAUUUGGAGCUUGAGGGAAUAAAAGUGAACAAUCAUCAUGGAUUUCAUUCAAGAAAUCAUCCAAUGAACUGG
Molecule: unclassified non-coding RNA, 291 nt
Filed under: Hevea brasiliensis (rubber tree)
Lineage: Eukaryota; Viridiplantae; Streptophyta; Magnoliopsida; Malpighiales; Euphorbiaceae
Source: RNAcentral